Macaca mulatta (Rhesus monkey) is the source of this 1386-nucleotide non-coding RNA. The record is from RefSeq and is a predicted model, not a curated record. Lineage: Eukaryota; Metazoa; Chordata; Mammalia; Primates; Cercopithecidae.
GGCAGUCUUCUUCAGCCAAUCCUCAGAGAGGACUAACGCAGCACUCUCAGCAGAGGGAGACUGAGUCCUUCAUUCCUGGGAGGUGUCUGCGAAGCACAUCGCAGUGUGCACUGCAGCAGCAACACAAAAUGGACUAAGACACCGAGCAACCCCCAGGAGCAUCAAGGAAGGAGGCAUGAGGUGCCUGCUGAGCCCACCAUGCUCACUGCUUUCUCACUGCAUCUGGAGGUCCUGAGUUCACAAUAAUGAGAAGUUUUGAGCUGGAUAAAACUGUUCAGUUAUGGGGCACAUUGGAAAAGGAGGGAUCACACAUAUCUCAGAAACAAUGGAAUGCAUUUCCUGUUUGGUAGACGAAGGCUUCUAAAAGGUUGACUGGUUCCAAAAUUGCCUCUCAAAAAGACUCCUUUUUAAAGGCAAAUAAGGAAACUGAAAAGCUUAAGAGAUGAAUUAAAGAUGAAAAUAAAAAUAAUUUUAUGGUAACUGACAUGACUUUGACCAUUUCCUCCCUUUAUCCUCAAUGUAUUUGUUCACCCAUUUUCUCAGCCUACACCUACUAAUCCUUUUGCCCAGUUAUGCUUAUACCCUGAAGAUGAUGAGCGAUGGGAAGUUAGGCCCUCAGAACAGCCACGUCUGGUUCCUAUAACUACUUUUGCUCAAAACCGAGUAAAAAAACUGGUGAAAAAUUGAACUCAGAGUCAUAGCAAAAGAUUUUCCAAACCUUAGAGAAAACCCCAAAAAAUUUGCUGAGGAAUUUAGAAUUCUCACAGGAGUCCGUGACUCUGGACCUCCCAAUUUGUGUCAGAUUAUACACAUGAGAUGGGACCCGGGGAGGCAAGUAACUGGAUGGCCACAGCACGAUGGGAUACGCUUGAGGAAGUACUGCCAGCCAUGCAAGUGGUACUUCUAGGGUGGCCCAAAGAUGCCAGAAAAAUGGCUGGAAAACUUUAGAAGCUAUCCCCAUUGUCUUUCCAUAAAAGUUUCACUGCUCCAUUAUUCAAACAUGUGUGAAAGGAAAAUAAAAAACUCGGGACCCCAAUUCACCAUGCUAAAGGAAAAAAUCAAGCUGAAAGCUGAGUCAUGCAAGAAGCUGCCUUUUCUUUUGUUCCUAAGCAGAUAGCUACAGAUAAAAGGUGAAAUAUCUCCACAGGGGCCUUAUCUUAUAUAACCUGUCCAUUUACAGAGUGCGAGAUGAAUGCAUAAUCAACUAUCACCCUACCUGCUUCUUUUCUCUUGCAACACCUGGAUUACCAUGCCCUCCCUUUUUCCCCUCCAGCUCGCUUUUGCCCCUUAAAUACUGAAGCACUCAAAAUCAUCUUUGGACAAAGGCACAGACCACAGACUGUUUCUAUAAGUCCAUGUUUAUUUCUUCCAGGCAUUGUCCCUAAC